Long non-coding RNA from Lagopus leucura (white-tailed ptarmigan), 1096 nucleotides. RefSeq lists it as uncharacterized. The record is from RefSeq and is a predicted model, not a curated record. Lineage: Eukaryota; Metazoa; Chordata; Aves; Galliformes; Phasianidae. The transcript is spliced from 7 exons.
AGGAAAUGCAGGCAAGUGCUACAGCAUCUUGGUGUCCCAGCAGCUCCCACUGGGAGGUUAACACCCAAGGUGCUCAGCAUGAGCCAUGUAGAAGUGGAUGUAGAAACACUUAUGGGUGGUGGGAAAAGUGCUGUGCCAAGCAGGAAGCUCCAGUGGAUGAUGGGACACUGCUGGCUUGUUGACUGGAUGGAAAGCGCAUCAUUGGGGAGAACCACGACAAGGAGCUGAACUCCAUGAUUUUGACUAGAGGUGACAGCUGAAAAGCACCAGAAACCCUUGGAAUUUCAGAUCUAUAUAUUACUAUAAAGGAAGAAAAUAAAGUUCCGCUAGUAGAAGUUUGGCGUGUACUUACCAACAGCAUGGCGGGAUGUCUGCAGUGAAAUGUUCCCAGCCCUGUGACCUCCUGCUGCAGGAAAAGAUCAAUAUUAUAAAGAGGUGGAGUGACUCCGUGAAUUAGUCUCCUGCGUUUUCACUCCUGGAAGUGGCGGAUCUAAUCCUGUUUGGAGAAGUAUCCAGUAUGGACUACAGCUGCUGAGAAGACGCCAGACUAAACGGACCAUUGGAAAUUGCACGUGCCGAUAUCAUUCCUUUAAAUAGGAAUGAUUUGCUCUUAUGCUUGAUAAACACAUAAGUAGAAGCCUAGUCUUUUCAUUUCUGCCUCUUUUCCUGGAGGGCCAGGGGAUCUCCCAGUGCUGUCUGUUCUUUUCCUCUGUGUUUUGCAGGCAAGGGAAUCUCAUGCAAGCCUCAGCUCCACAUCCUCUGAAGAGGCAACAUUAAAGUCAGCACUUGACUGCACUGAAUUUUACAGGAUUUUCUCCCAAGAUCUUUCUGGCAAGCAUUGCACUCUCCUGGGUUUCGAUGCUGUGAGAAUUACAAUUCAUCCAGAGUUCAAGCCUUUGGUUAAGACAAUGUCCUCAGGGUUAUGAGAGUUGGGGACCUGAUUGGAAAAGCAGCUCUCUGGAAAAAUAAUUAUGGAAGACAAAAAAUAAUAAUAAAAGAGAAAGAAAAUAUGUGACGCGCUGUAGAAGUUACAGCUGCAAACAGGUUUUCAUUCUCUUGUGCAUAAGCAAAUAAAUACAAAAUAAAAGAAACUACA